RNAcentral lists this ribosomal RNA (400 nucleotides) under uncultured bacterium. Its description in RNAcentral is "bacterial SSU rRNA". It matches the Rfam family "Bacterial small subunit ribosomal RNA", at positions 355 to 772 of the family's 1533-position model. The record is from RNAcentral.
UGAGGAAUCUUCCACAAUGGACGAAAGUCUGAUGGAGCGACACCGCGUGAAGGAUGAAGGCCUAACGGUUGUAAACUUCUUUUCUGAAGGAGCAUAAUGAGAGUACUUCAGGAAUAAGGGACGGCUAAAUACGUGCCAGCAGCCGCGGUAAUACGUAUGUCUCAAGCGUUACCCGGAAUCAUUGGGUGUAAAGGGUUUGUAGGUGGAUAAUUAAGUCAGGUAUGAAAGACCGGAGCUCAACUCCGUGUUUGUAUUUGAAACUGGUUGUCUAGAAUCAGGGAGAGGUAAGCGGAAUUCUAAGUGUAGGGGUGCAAUCCGUAGAUACUUAGAGGAACACCAAAAGCGAAGGCAGCUUACUAGAACUGUAUUGACACUGAUAAACGAAAGCGUGGGGAGCGAA